UACAGAGGGUGCAAGCGUUAAUCGGAAUUACUGGGCGUAAAGGGCGCGUAGGCGGUUAUUUAAGUUGGAUGUGAAAGCCCCGGGCUUAACCUGGGAAUUGCAUACAAGACUGGAUGACUAGAGUAUGGUAGAGGGUAGUGGAAUUUCCGGUGUAGCGGUGAAAUGCGUAGAGAUCGGAAGGAACACCAGUGGCGAAGGCGGCUACCUGGACCAAUACUGACGCUGAGGCGCGAGAGCGUGGGUAGCAAACAGG
RNAcentral lists this ribosomal RNA (253 nucleotides) under uncultured bacterium. Its description in RNAcentral is "partial 16S ribosomal RNA". It matches the Rfam family "Bacterial small subunit ribosomal RNA", at positions 524 to 776 of the family's 1533-position model. The record is from RNAcentral.